Long non-coding RNA from Juglans microcarpa x Juglans regia, 580 nucleotides. RefSeq lists it as uncharacterized. NCBI's taxonomy places the organism in Eukaryota, Viridiplantae, Streptophyta, Magnoliopsida, Fagales, Juglandaceae. The record is from RefSeq and is a predicted model, not a curated record. The transcript is spliced from 4 exons.
CCUUUUAGUAGUGAUUACAAGCCCAGAUCCAGGCCCACGACUUGGCCCGUUUAAAGGAAACGACGCCGUUUUGGUAAGUUGUAAAGUCCCUCUUCUUUUUCCCCUCCCAAUCGGUUUCUCCUUUCCUCAGUUUCUCUCCUCCCCAUUUUCUCUCACGCACUCUGUUUCUCCCUCUCCUUUCACCCAGCAGUUUCUUUGUGCGACAGACCUCAUAGUUGGUUUCUAGGGCUUCAAUUGACGAUAGUCACUCAUCCCCGUCGUGCAACACCACCGCUACGAUCAGCGUCAUCGCCGAUUUCCCUGUUCACAUAGUUUAUUCUCAUUUUCCUCGCCCCUCUCUUGUGAUUUGUGAGUCUACCGUCCGCUGCUCUGUGGGUUGUGUCGCCUGCAAGUUCCUCGCCGGUGUUUUGGUGAAAUGACGCCACCGUGCGUGACCAAGCCGUACGUUGUCGCCUCUGUCCGUGGGCUCCAUUUUCGUCGCCGUAGUUCCCAUCCCACAUCAACGCCUCCUCUUACUCUAGGUUUUAGGCCGCAGUUAACAGGGACAUCGGAAUCUAUAGGCACCUCUCACUGGCACCAA